This 547-nucleotide ribosomal RNA is filed under the name uncultured bacterium. RNAcentral's name for it is "bacterial SSU rRNA". It matches the Rfam family "Bacterial small subunit ribosomal RNA", at positions 355 to 894 of the family's 1533-position model. The record is from RNAcentral.
UAGGGAAUCUUCGGCAAUGGACGGAAGUCUGACCGAGCAACGCCGCGUGAGUGAAGAAGGUUUUCGGAUCGUAAAGCUCUGUUGUAAGAGAAGAACGAGUGUGAGAGUGGAAAGUUCACACUGUGACGGUAUCUUACCAGAAAGGGACGGCUAACUACGUGCCAGCAGCCGCGGUAAUACGUAGGUCCCGAGCGUUGUCCGGAUUUAUUGGGCGUAAAGCGAGCGCAGGCGGUUAGAUAAGUCUGAAGUUAAAGGCUGUGGCUUAACCAUAGUAGGCUUUGGAAACUGUUUAACUUGAGUGCAAGAGGGGAGAGUGGAAUUCCAUGUGUAGCGGUGAAAUGCGUAGAUAUAUGGAGGAACACCGGUGGCGAAAGCGGCUCUCUGGCUUGUAACUGACGCUGAGGCUCGAAAGCGUGGGGAGCAAACAGGAUUAGAUACCCUGGUAGUCCACGCUGUAAACGAUGAGUGCUAGGUGUUAGACCCUUUCCGGGGUUUAGUGCCGUAGCUACGCAUUAAGCACUCCGCCUGGGGAGUACGACCGCAAGGU